RNAcentral lists this ribosomal RNA (466 nucleotides) under uncultured bacterium. RNAcentral's name for it is "partial 16S ribosomal RNA". It matches the Rfam family "Bacterial small subunit ribosomal RNA", at positions 28 to 507 of the family's 1533-position model. The record is from RNAcentral.
GAUGGACGCUGGCGGCGUGCUUAACACAUGCCAGUCGAACGAUGAAGCCCAGCUUGCUGGGUGGAUUAGUGGCGAACGGGUGAGUAACACGUGAGUAACCUGCCCUUAACUCUGGGAUAAGCCUGGGAAACUGGGUCUAAUACCGGAUAGGAGCGUCCACCGCAUGGUGGGUGUUGGAAAGAUUUAUCGGUUUUGGAUGGACUCGCGGCCUAUCAGCUUGUUGGUGAGGUAAUGGCUCACCAAGGCGACGACGGGUAGCCGGCCUGAGAGGGUGACCGGCCACACUGGGACUGAGACACGGCCCAGACUCCUACGGGAGGCAGCAGUGGGGAAUAUUGCACAAUGGGCGCAAGCCUGAUGCAGCGACGCCGCGUGAGGGAUGAAGGCCUUCGGGUUGUAAACCUCUUUCAGUAGGGAAGAAGCGAAAGUGACGGUACCUGCAGAAGAAGCACCGGCUAACUACGUG